ACGGUGCCUCGAUCCGUAGGACGGCCUUCGGAUGGUCAACUGCUUUCGUACGGAACGAAAAGGUCCUCUCUAAUACAGGGGGAGCAUGACGGUACCGUAAGAAUAAGCACCGGCUAACUACGUGCCAGCAGCCGCGGUAAUACGUAGGGUGCAAGCGUUAAUCGGAAUUACUGGGCGUAAAGCGUGCGCAGGCGGUUAUAUAAGACAGAUGUGAAAUCCCCGGGCUCAACCUGGGAACUGCAUUAGUGACUGUAUAGCUAGAGUGCGGCAGAGGGGGAUGGAAUUCCGCGUGUACCAGUGAAAUGCGUAAAUCUGCGGAGGAACACCGAUGGCGAAGGCAAUCCCCUGGGCCUGUACUGACGCUCAUGCACGAAAGCGUGGGGAGCAAACAGGAUUAGAUACCCUGGUAGUCCACGCCCUAAACGAUGUCAACUGGUUGUUGGGAAUUCACUGACUCAGUAACGAAGCUAACGCGUGAAGUUGACCGCUGGGGAGUACGGCCGCAAGGUUGAAACUCAAA
This 520-nucleotide ribosomal RNA is filed under the name uncultured prokaryote. Its description in RNAcentral is "bacterial SSU rRNA". It matches the Rfam family "Bacterial small subunit ribosomal RNA", at positions 386 to 905 of the family's 1533-position model. The record is from RNAcentral.